UUAAUACUUACUUUAAAAGCUACGUUGAACCUCUUUUUGAAUGUGGAAUCUCUUUUUGGAACAUAUCCCCCCUCUAUUAGAAAGGGCAGUGUCGUGGUGGAGCAUAAGGUUUUACUGCGUGUAGAGAAUGGGAAGAACCUAACUAAUGACAUCACUGAGUCAGAAGAACAGACCAAGGACAUUCUCGAUGAGGCCAAAAACUGCACAACAGGUCAAGAAGGCUGCCUUGGAGUGACCAUCAUUGGAGAUAUCAUAGUCAAAAAUGCUACGUUUGAUAAAGAAUGGCUAAAGACAUCCAUACUGAACCAGUGAACCAGUGGCUGGAGGACGACUUUGAGUGGCCCGACAGGCCAACUACGAGUGGCGACUGGUGGGUUCAUGUAGUACCACAGUCCUAACAGAGAAUGACCCUAACCCACCUUAUGGUGGCUGAGUGGGCUUGCAGUACGAGGCAGACUCCUCCACGUCUCCCUACCAUGGAACACAGGCACAGGUGUUCAGGGAGAGGUUUGAGACCAUCUACCACGACUACAGUUCCUGGGGUGCUGAUAGGGACACCAUACAAGACAUAGACACCUGAACCGACCUCUUCGGGGCAACGUUUUGCAUUGAGUGACCCUGGCAGCCAAUCAAAGGUGGGUAGAAGGACAGAAUGCCGCAUUUAAAAUGUACUGUAUUUCUUUGUCGUCAAAAUUUGCUAAAAUUUGUCUAUCGCUUUUGGAAUUUCUGAUGCUCCCAGAAUGUCUAGCUUUCAUUUCGAUGACUGUUAGCAAUCUGGACAAAGUGAAGAGACUAUACAUGUAGGUCCAAUAUAAUUUCUACAAACUUUUGAUUUGGUUUUAGUAAUUUCAAUGUCGAUUGACAUCGUUUUUCUGCGACAAAAAAAAUAAAAUUUUCAGAUUGUAUAGGCUCACAGGCCUCGAGUUUGACAAGUGGUCUACAUUGUCAUUCAACCUGUUAAAAAGAAGCUGUAAAAUAUGUAUGUUAUACUGUGGUUGCACUUUAUAAACUGGUGUGUACUUUCAUGGUAAAUUACUACAUAAAGAUACUAUGGAGGAGCUAAGGUUGACUUUAAAAACCUAUUCCAUACUUAAAUACCCUUUUUUAAUAUUCCCUGACAGUUUAUGAUCAGCACUACAUCUACUCUGAGAUGUAGUGGAUCAUCCUUUAAAUCAGUGUUUCAUCGACAACCGGAAAAAAACAGACUGAAACAAGAUCUGUAUUGGACAGUCUCCUCUUUGGGAGCGAAGACUGAAUGAAACUUAUAGGGGACAAUGCAAAAACAGCAAAAACUGUUUGACCAAUGAUAUGAUGCAACUUAUGCCAGUUUGACAAUUAGCAUUACUCAUUUUUAACGUUGGUACUAAGGCUAAUGAAUAAUGUUGUAAUAUCACAUAUAUAUAUAUAUAUAUAUAUAUAUAUAUAACAUGGCCUAACAACGUGUCUGUAUACAGGGAACAGAUAUUAAAACACUCAAAACAUCUGAAAUGUGUAAU
Molecule: long non-coding RNA, 1496 nt
Organism: Salvelinus namaycush (lake trout)
Lineage: Eukaryota; Metazoa; Chordata; Actinopteri; Salmoniformes; Salmonidae
Exons: 5
Source: RefSeq, a predicted model, not a curated record